Molecule: long non-coding RNA, 323 nt
Filed under: Androctonus crassicauda
Lineage: Eukaryota; Metazoa; Arthropoda; Arachnida; Scorpiones; Buthidae
Source: RNAcentral
GUUUAUCAUAGGUGUGUCGCAUUGUCUUUGUGCCAUGGGGGUUCGGUCGUGGGUGUUGGGGUUGUUUGGGGGGUGCUCCCAUGGUUUUUGUGGCGAGCCUGUCUGUCUGUCAUUGACUGCAGGGACACCUUGUCUGCUUUUGUGUGUCUGUGCUGUCUCUGCGAUCGGUGGAUCCUCCGGGUUCUCUGGGUGCUUUGUUGUUCUGGAGUUGUCCCGUCUGAUGUCUGGGUUCUGUUGGUGUGCGCAUUUGGCCAGUGCUGUGGUCGGCUUGGCAUUCUUAGUGUCUUGUUUGUGCUCCCUUAUCCAGAGUAGGAGUUUGGCUG